AGAACGAACGCUGGCGGCAUGCCUAAUACAUGCAAGUCGAACGAACUCUUCGGAGUUAGUGGCGCACGGGUGCGUAACGCGUGGGAAUCUGCCCUUGGGUUCGGAAUAACAGUUGGAAACGACUGCUAAUACCGGAUGAUGACGAAAGUCCAAAGAUUUAUCGCCCAGGGAUGAGCCCGCGUAGGAUUAGCUAGUUGGUGAGGUAAAGGCUCACCGAAGGCGACGAUCCUUAGCUGGUCUGAGAGGAUGAUCAGCCACGACGUGGGACUGGAGACGACGGCCCAGACUCCGUACGGGAGCAGCGAAGUAGGGAAUAGUUACGGAACAAGUCGGGACGAAACGCCUAGAC
RNAcentral lists this ribosomal RNA (349 nucleotides) under uncultured soil bacterium. RNAcentral describes it as "bacterial SSU rRNA". It matches the Rfam family "Bacterial small subunit ribosomal RNA", at positions 26 to 387 of the family's 1533-position model. The record is from RNAcentral.